This 301-nucleotide ribosomal RNA is filed under the name uncultured bacterium. RNAcentral's name for it is "partial 16S ribosomal RNA". It matches the Rfam family "Bacterial small subunit ribosomal RNA", at positions 509 to 807 of the family's 1533-position model. The record is from RNAcentral.
CAGUAGCCACGGGAAUACGUAGGGCGCAAGCGUUAUCCGGAAUUAUUGGGCGUAAAGAGCUCGUAGGCGGUUUGUCGCGUCUGCCGUGAAAGUCCGGGGCUCAACCCCGGAUCUGCGAUGGGUACGGGCAGACUAGAGUGAUGUAGGGGAGACUGGAAUUCCUGGUGUAGCGGUGAAAUGCGCAGAUAUCAGGAGGAACACCGAUGGCGAAGGCAGGUCUCUGGGCAUUAACUGACGCUGAGGAGCGAAAGCGUGGGGAGCAAACAGGAUUAGAUACCCCGGUAGUCCCUGUCUCUUAUAC